GCAUGCAGGUGGUUUGUUAAGUCAGAUGUGAAAGACCCGGGGCGUCAACCUCGGAAUUGCAUUUGAAACUGGCAAACUAGAGUACUGUAGAGGGGGGUAGGAAUUUCAGGUGUAGCGGUGAAAUGCGUAGAGAUCUGAAGGAAUACCGGUGGCGAAGGCGGCCCCCUCGGACAGAUACUGACACUCAGAUGCGAAAGCGUGGGGAGCAAACAGGAUUAGACUACCCUGGUAG
RNAcentral lists this ribosomal RNA (232 nucleotides) under uncultured bacterium. RNAcentral's name for it is "partial 16S ribosomal RNA". It matches the Rfam family "Bacterial small subunit ribosomal RNA", at positions 567 to 793 of the family's 1533-position model. The record is from RNAcentral.